UUUCAGGAGGAUUUGAUCCUGGUCCAGGAUGAACGCUGGCGGUGUGGAUUAGGCAUGCAAGUCGAGCGCCUGACUUUCAUUGACUAGAACCAAUUUGGUAAUGGUCGCCGAAAGUCGGGAGCGGCAAACGAGUUAGUAACACCUUGGAACCUACCCUGUACUCAGGAAUAAGCCAUCGAAAGAUGGUCUAAUGCCUGAUAGUCUCGCAAGAGUAAAGCUCCGGCGGUACAGGAGGGGCCUAGGCCCGAUCAGCUUGUUGGUGAGGUAAUGGCUCACCAAGGCUACGACCGGUAGGGGAGGUGAGAGCCUGACCCCCAACGACGGAACUGAGAUACGGUCCGUACACCUACGGGUGGCCGCAGUCGAGAAUAUUCCACAAUGGGCGAAAGCCUGAUGGAGCGACGCCGCGUGCAGGAAGAAGGCCUUCGGGUUGUAAACUGCUUUUCUAGGGGAAGAAGUUUUGACGGUACCCUAGGAAUAAGGAAUGGCAAACUUCGUGAAUGACAUGGAUUAAGCUCCAUGUCAGCCAUUCAAGCAACGCUACAAAAUAGCGUUUUCGUAAUUACUGGCGCGACUUCUUAUGGAAACAUAAGAAUGCACAACUUGGCUUAUAUGCGGGAAGUCUAUGGAGGGCUGCGCUCCGACAAUAUCAGAGUUCCCUAUAGAUAAUCCGCAGGGAAGUCGGUAGUGGUAAAACUACUUGACCCCUCAGAGACUGAGCUCGUAAGAGCGAGAUAGAGACUUUUCUCUAUAACACGCCAAGCACCCUACGGGGUGAUGAUAUAGUCCGAUCCUUACAGCGAUGUAAGUAAAUAAUUGGCCAGCAGCAGCGGUAAUACGAAGAUUCCAAGCGUUAUCCGAAUUUAUUGGGCGUAAAGCGUACGUAGGGGGCCUGAUGCGUCCGCCGUUAAAUCUCACUGCCUAACAGUGAGGCCGCGGUGGAUACGAUUAGGCUAGAGGAUGCGAGAGGUCUGUGGAACGCACGGUGUAGGGGUGAUAUCCGUUGAUAUCGUGCGGAACACCAAAGGCGAAGGCAGCAGACUGGCGUACUCCUGACCCUCAGGUACGAAAGCGUGGGUCGCGAAUGGGAUUAGAUACCCCAGUAGUCCACGCCGUAAACUUUGUCGACUAGCUGUUUCGAGUAUCGACCCUCGGAGUGGCGCAGCUAACGCGUUAAGUCGACCGCCUGGGAAGUACGAGCGCAAGCUUAAAACUCAAAGGAAUAGACGGGGGUUCGCACAAGCGGAGGAACAUGAGGUUUAAUUCGAUAGUAAGCGAGGAACCUUACCUGGGUUUGAAGCUCAAACGACGAUUUGCUGAAAGGCAGAUCUCUGGAUUUUCUAGCGUUUGGGCAGGUGCUGCAUGGUUGCCGUCAGCUCGUGUCUUGAGAUGUACCCUUAAGUGGGAAAACGAGCGCAACCCUCAUCGUCAGUUACAAGUGUCUGGCGAAACUGCCCUGAUUCACAGGGAGGAAGGAGAGGACGACGUCAAAUCCGCAUGGCCUUUUGAUACCCAGGGCGACACUCAUGUUACAAUGGCUAGUACAAUGGGUUGCUAAACCGCGAGGUGGAGCUAAUCCCACAAAACUAGUCUCAGUUCGGAUUGUAGGCUGAAACUCGCCUACAUGAAGUUGGAUUCGCUAGUAAUCGUGCAUCAGCCACGGCACGGUGAAUACGUUCCCGAACCUUGUACUCGGGACGCUGUGCGAUUGUGGAAGCUAGUCCGUAAAAUCGGACUGCAGCAAAACAUAG
Molecule: non-coding RNA, 1751 nt
Organism: Candidatus Gottesmanbacteria bacterium
Lineage: Bacteria; Candidatus Gottesmaniibacteriota
Source: Rfam